ACACUCGUGGUUUAGUGGUAAAAUACGCCCUUGCCAUAACAUAUGUACUAUGGGCGUGCCACGGGUUCGAUUCCCGUCGAGUGUA
Molecule: transfer RNA, 85 nt
Filed under: Taphrina deformans PYCC 5710
Lineage: Eukaryota; Fungi; Ascomycota; Taphrinomycetes; Taphrinales; Taphrinaceae
Rfam family: tRNA
About the family: Transfer RNA (tRNA) molecules are approximately 80 nucleotides in length. Their secondary structure includes four short double-helical elements and three loops (D, anti-codon, and T loops).
Source: Rfam by way of RNAcentral